UACGUAGGGUGCAAGCGUUGUUCGGAAUCAUUGGGCGUAAAGCGCGUGUAGGUGGUUAGUUAAGUCGAUUGUGAAAUCCCUGGGCUCAACCGAGGAAGUGCAGUCGAAACUAGCUAGCUAGAGAGCGGUAGAGGAAGGUGGAAUUCCAAGUGUAGAGGUGAAAUUCGUAGAUAUUUGGAGGAAUACCGGUGGCGAAGGCGGCCUUCUGGACCGAUUCUGACACUGAGACGCGAAAGCGUGGGGAGCAAACAGG
This 253-nucleotide ribosomal RNA is filed under the name uncultured bacterium. RNAcentral describes it as "partial 16S ribosomal RNA". It matches the Rfam family "Bacterial small subunit ribosomal RNA", at positions 524 to 776 of the family's 1533-position model. The record is from RNAcentral.